This 1782-nucleotide ribosomal RNA is filed under the name fermentation metagenome. RNAcentral describes it as "bacterial LSU rRNA". It matches the Rfam family "Bacterial large subunit ribosomal RNA", at positions 503 to 2314 of the family's 2925-position model. The record is from RNAcentral.
GUGAGGGAAAGGUGAAAAGCACCCCGGGAGGGGAGUGAAAUAGAACCUGAAACCUUAUGCCUACAAUCGGAGGGAGCGCAAGUGACCUCGUACUUUUUGUAGAACGGGCCAACGAGUUAUGGUGUGCGGCAAGGUUAAGGAGCUGGAGCUCCGGAGCCGUAGGGAAACCGAGCCUUAAUAGGGCAGAAGUCGUAUGCUGUAGACCCGAAACCGGGUGACCUAUCCAUGUGCAGGUUGAAGUGUCCGUAAAAGGACAUGGAGGACCGAACCCAUAUCUGUUGAAAAAGGUUGGGAUGACGUGUGGAUAGCGGUGAAAUUCCAAUCGAACCCGGAGAUAGCUGGUUCUCCCCGAAAUAGCUUUGGGGCUAGCCUCGUAUUGAGAUGCCUGGAGGUAGAGCACUGAAUGUUCUAGGGGCCUUCACCGGUUACCAAAAACUAUCAAACUCCGAAUGCCAGAGCAUCAUAUACGGGAGUCAGACCACGUGAGAUAAGUUUCGUGGUCGAAAGGGAAACAGCCCAGACCGCCGGCUAAGGUCCCAAAAUACAGACUAAGUGGAAAAGGAUGUGGGAUUGCACAGACAGCUAGGAUGUUGGCUCAGAAGCAGCCAUUCAUUCAAAGAGUGCGUAAUAGCUCACUAGUCGAGUGAUCCUGCGCCGAAGAUGAACGGGGCUAAAGUCUGUUACCGAAGCCGCGGAUACGUAAGUAUGGUAGGGGAGCAUCCUAUAGGGAGCGAAGCAGUUUCGUAAGGAACUGUGGACCGUAUAGGAGAGAGAAUGUUGGCAUGAGUAGCGUAAGGCAGGUGAGAAUCCUGCCCGCCGAAAAUCUAAGGUUUCCUGAGGAAGGUUCGUCCGCUCAGGGUAAGUCGGGGCCUAAGCCGAGGGCGAAAGCCGUAGGCGAUGGAUAACAGGUAGAAAUUCCUGUACCACCGAAGGUCAUUUGAGCAAAGCGGGGACACAGAAGGAUAGACUGAGCACGCCGUUGGUAGAGCGUGUCCAAGCGUCGAGGGAGCAAUUACAGGUAAGUCCGUAGUUGUGGAACUGAGGCGUGAUGGGGUGACAAAAGAGUCUGAAGCAGUCGAUUUCACGCUGUCAAGAAAAGCCGCUAGCGAGACCAGAGGUGCCCGUACCGCAAACCGACACAGGUAGAUGAGGAGAGAAUCCUAAGGUGAGCGAGAGAACUAUUGUCAAGGAACUCGGCAAAAUCACCCCGUAACUUCGGGAGAAGGGGUGCCAGCGAAAGCUGGCCGCAGUGAAAAGGCCCAGGCAACUGUUUACCAAAAACACAGGUCUCUGCAAAAGCGAAAGCUGAAGUAUAGGGGCUGACGCCUGCCCGGUGCUGGAAGGUUAAGGGGAAGUGUAAGAGCAAUCGAAGCACGGAACUGAAGCCCCAGUAAACGGCGGCCGUAACUAUAACGGUCCUAAGGUAGCGAAAUUCCUUGUCGGGUAAGUUCCGACCCGCACGAAAGGCGUAAUGAUCUGGGCGCUGUCUCGACAAUAGACUCGGUGAAAUUGUAGUGCCGGUAAAGAUGCCGGCUACCCGCAGCAGGACGGAAAGACCCCGUGGAGCUUUACUGCAACCUGAUAUUGAGCCUCGGCGCUGCAUGUACAGGAUAGGUGGGAGACAUUGAAAUGAGUACGCCAGUAUUCAUUGAGUCAUCGUUGGGAUACCACCCCUGCAGUGUUGGGGUUCUAACCGCGCAUCGUGAACCGGUGCCGGAACAGUGUCAGGCGGGCAGUUUGACUGGGGCGGUCGCCUCCUAAAGAGUAACGGAGGCGCCCAAA